UGAGGCGGCCGGGACGAUGGCGGCGCGCAGUAGGGGCGGUUGCUCCAAGCCCCGUCCAGCCUGGCCUUGGGCACUUCCUGGGAAUUAAGACAAGAUCUGAGCCUCUUUCAAAUGAGGCUGGUUGCCGCAGUCCCAAAGAAACGCCUGGAAAUGAUGAAGAAGAACUGGAGCGGCAGCUGUUGAGUUGGUGUGGCCGCGUGCAGAGCUCGGGAGAGCAGAGGGGAACGUGGAAAAGUGGGAGUUCAGGCAUGGCAAAAACCAUCACCAAGUGAAUUCCGAGACCUCAGAGGGGUAAGAAAGGCUGUCCGUGGUCUGUGUGUGAGGAACUUGUGGAGGAAAGAAAGGGAGAAAAAGCAGCAAAAGAGAAAAGAGAGGGGGCACCUGGAGUUGAACCAGGGACCUCUUGAUCUGCAGUCAAAUGCUCUGCCACUGAGCUAUACCCCCCUGGGACAGCACCUGCACCAGGGAAAUUUAAAAAUAUUCAUUGGGAAAGAAAAAUGUUCUGCUGCCUGUGGCUUGGAUCCCUUUCCUCAGCAGCUCCCUGAGCACCUUAAGGUGCCUGCCUGAGGUACAGGGAGUUAAACGGGGUAAGUGACGGUAAAAAUGAGAAUUGCUGGCAGAUCUGAUGCCUGCAGUGAAUUUAAAAUAGAGAAAAGCACACACAGACACAGCAGGUGGUUCCCACUGUCCCUCACGACCCUUUCCCAACCCUCAGGGCCUCAUUCCUUGGGUUCUGGAGCUCAGAACCAGCACCGACAUGUGACAGAUCCUGCAAGAGCCCUCCAGGUUUUUUUUCUGUGAAAGAUUUUUGGCAAAAGGAAGGUGGAAGGAGGGGAAAAAGAGGGGGCACCUGGAGUUGAACCAGGGACCUCUUGAUCUGCAGUCAAAUGCUCUACCACUGAGCUAUACCCCCCUGGCACAUUUAAAAACAUCCUUAGAGCCUCAGGUGUUUCUCUCUGUGGGUUGGAUCCCUUCACCUGACAGGCCCCUGUGCCUGCCAAAGGCUGUGCAGGGAGUUAAGUGUGAUAAAUUAUGGGAAUUAUAAGACAUUCUGGGCAGUGGUGGCUGCAGAGAAUUAAAAACAGAGAAAGGCACACGCAGACAGUGAGUGGUUCCUAGCCAAGGCAAAAACCCUUGAGCUUUUGCAGGGCCUUGCUGCUUCCACCCCAAGAUCCCUGCCCAGCACGACCUCCCACAUCCCACAGGACGUUCCCAACCUUCCCGUGAAGGAUUUGGGCAGAAGGAAGAGGAGGAAAAAGAGAAAAGAGAGGGGGCACCUGGAGUUGAACCAGGGACCUCUUGAUCUGCAGUCAAAUGCUCUACCACUGAGCUAUACCCCCAUGGGAUAACAGCUGGGCCAGGGAAAUUUAAAAACAUUCGUUGGGAAAGAAAAAAGUUUUGCUGCCUAGGGGUUGGAUUCCUUUCCUUGCCACCCCCUGUGCAGCCCAGGGAGUGCCUGGGGAAGGUGCAGGGAGUUAAAUGUGACGAAUGGCGGUGAAAGUGAGAAAUUUUGGCGAUGAUCACCGGGAAUUAAGGACGGAGAAACGCACACACAGGCAGCGAGGGGUUAGAGCACAGCCCCAAAACUUUCCCAGUGGAGCCUCAGUUCCCUGGAUGCCGCAGCUCAGAGCCAACGCCCCACGCGCGGCGCAAAGCUCGGGGCUCUCCACGGUUUUUCUGUGGCAAAUUUUUUGGCAAAAGGAAGGUGGAAGGGGGAGGAAAAGAGAGGGGGCACCUGGAGUUGAACCAGGGACCUCUUGAUCUGCAGUCAAAUGCUCUACCACUGAGCUAUACCCCCCUGGGCUAGCACAGGGACAUUUAAAAACAUUUGUUGGGAAAGACAGAAGUUUUGCUGUUCGUGGAUUGGAUUCCUUUAGUUGACAGCUCCCUGUGCACCUCAGUGUGCCUGUGGAAGGGUGUAAAAUUCCAUCAGUUAGGUAUGAAACUGAGGGGAAGAUCGGGAGAAAAUGGAAAUUCGGAGAAAAGUGACUGCAGAGGAAAUCCCAGGCAGGCAGUGAAUGGUUCUCACACAGAGCACAAGCCCUGAGCUUUCCCCGUAGUCAGAGCACAAAUCCUUUGAAGCUGAAGCUCCCAGCCAGCACUGAGGGGUACAAAACAAACUCACAAGAUCCAACCGGAGCUCUCCAACUUCCUUCUGGGAAGGAUUUUGGCAAAAGGAAGAGGAAAAGAGAGGGGGCACCUGGAGUUGAACCAGGGACCUCUUGAUCUGCAGUCAAAUGCUCUACCACUGAGCUAUACCCCCCCUGGCACCUCCUUGUGCAAAUAAAACAUUUAAGGGAUGUUUUUUCCCCAAAUCCCUGAGCUCCUGAGGGAUUGGCUCCUGCUGCACUCCCAGGCGCCAGGUGACCUUGGCCCAGUUCCAGUCUGUCCUGAGCGCUCCAAACUGCCGGGGAGUCUCUGACGUUUUCCCCUCGCUUCCAUCUCCGACUGCGACAGGGAAAAGAAUGAACAGGAGAGGAGGCUGAGCCGCCGUUCCUCGCUUGACUCCCGGUCACCAAACCCCCCCCAAAAUCCCCAGGGAAAAGCAGCAAAAGAGAAAAGAGAGGGGGCACCUGGAGUUGAACCAGGGACCUCUUGAUCUGCAGUCAAAUGCUCUACCACUGAGCUAUACCCCCAUGGGGUUACACCUGCGCCAGGGAAGUUUAAAAAUAUUCAUUGGGAAAGAAAAAAGUUUUGUUGUCCAGGGGUUGGAUUCCUUUCCUUGCCACCCCCCCUGUGCGCUGUAAUGCAUCUCCAAAGGCUGGACACGGAGUUAAACGUGAUAAACGACGGUGAAAAUGAUCAGUUCUGGUAGAUCUGGUGUCCACAGAGGAUUAAGAACAGGCAAAGCACAACCCCUGCACUUCCCCAACCAUCAGGGCCUCGCUCCCUGCACGCUGCAGCUCAGAGCCAGUGCCCCACACGCGGCGCAAAGCUCGGGGCUCUCCACGGUUCUUCUGUGGCAAAUUUUUGGCAAAAGGAAGGUGGAAGGAGGAGGAAAAGAGAGGGGGCACCUGGAGUUGAACCAGGGACCUCUUGAUCUGCAGUCAAAUGCUCUACCACUGAGCUAUACCCCCCUGGGUUUACACCUGCGCCGGGAAAGUUUAAAAACAUUCGUUGGAAAAGAGAGAAGUUUUUCUCUCUGUGGGUUGGAUCCCUUCACUCCACGGCUCCUGUGCAGCCCAGUGUCCCUGUCAAAGGUACAGGGACUUAAAGGGGAUAAAAUAUGGCAAACGUGAUUCCUUCCAUUCCAUUUCCUGGCCCUGAUCCAGUCCGGGAUAUUCCCCCGUUCCAUGUCCUGGCUGGAUGCAGUUCAGGUUUUCUCCCAUUCUGUCUGCUGGCUAAUAUCCGGUCCGGGUUUUCCUUCCUACCAUAUCCCACCCUGAUCCAGUCCAUAUAUCAGCUUCAAUCCAGUCCAGGUUUUCCUCCAUUCCACAUCCUGCUCUGAUCCAGUCCAGGUUUUCCUCCAUUCCCUAUCCUGCUCUGAUCCAGUCCAGGUUUUCCUCCAUUCCGUAUCCCAACUGUGAUCCCAACCAGGUUUUCCUCCAUUCCCACCCUGAUCCUGUCUUGACUUUUGGGUUUUGCUCCAUUCCGUAUCCUGGCCCUGAUCCAGUCACAGUUUUUCCCCAUUCCUGAUUCCUGGAUCCAGGAUCCAGUCCCAGUUUUCUUCCAUUCCAGAUUCCAGCCCAGAUCCCAUCCCAGUUUUCCCCCCAUUCCAGAUUCCAGCCCAGAUCCCAUCCCAGUUUUCCCCCAUUCCUGAUUCCAGCCCAGAUCCCAUCCCAGUUUUCCCCCAUUCCUGAUUCCAGUCUGGAACCAGUCCCAGUUUUCCCCCAUUCCAGAUUCCAGCACAGAUCCAAUGCCAGUUUUCCUCCAUUCCAGAUCCCAGCCCAGAUCCCAUCCCAGUUUUCCCCCAUUCCAGAUUCCAGCCCAGAUCCAAUGCCAGUUUUCCCCCAUUCCAGAUCCCAGCCCAGAUCCCAUCCCAGUUUUCCCCCAUUCCAGAUCCCAGCCCAGAUCCCAUCCCAGUUUUCCCCCAUUCCAGAUCCCAGCCCGGAUCCCGGUUCAGUUUUUCCCGUUACAGGGAAUUUCUCCCAUUUACAGGGAAUCCAGCCCGGAGGGAGCUCGGGCAGAUCCCGAUUUCCCGAUUUCCCGUGAGCGGUUCCUCGCCCCGUGCACACCCCCUGCGCUUUUCCAGGGCCUUGGUGCUCCCACCGACGCUCCCACCCCGUGUUCCCUGCCCAGCACAACCCCCCACAUCCCACAGCGGCUUUCCCAACCUUCCCCUGAAGGAUUUGGGCAGAGGAAAAGCUGGAGGAAGAGGAAAAGGAGGAGAAAAGAGCACCUGGAGUUGAACCUCGCAGUCAAAUGCUCUCCCACUGAGCUGUGCCCCCUCCUUUCCAUGGGUAUUCCCAGCAGGAAUCUCCCUGCUCGUUACCAUCCCACCAAAGCUCUGCUAAUUAACCCCAGGACAAAGCCCAGAUCCUCCCAAAAUCCCCUUCCCUUUUCCUCACCAACCCUGCCCUGCUGGGGAUCAGCUCCCUUCCCUCUGGCCAGCUGUGGCCUACACACAGCUCGGGGAGAGGGGCGGGGGGGGAAAACUGGGAAUUCCGAGCUCCCAAGCGCAUUUUUGGGGAUAAAAAGACGGAAAAGAGAGGGGGCACCCGGAUUUGAACCGGGGACCUCUUGAUCUGCAGUCAAAUGCUCUGCCCCUGAGCUAUACCCCCACCUGGGCAGGGCAGCCAGGUGAAGCUCCUGGUGGCCAGGUGAGGCUCCCUGUGGCCAGGUGAGGCUCCCUGUGGCCAGGUGAGGUUCCUGGUGGCCAGGUGAGGCUCCCGGUGGCCAGGUGAGGCUCCCGGUGGCCAGGUGAGGCUCCCGGUGGCCAGGUGAGGCUCCCUGUGGCCAGGUGAGGCUCCCAGUGGCCAGGUGAGGCUCCCAGUGGCCAGGUGAGGCUCCCUGUUGUCACCACAGCUCCCACCCAAACCAUUCCUCCUUUUGCUCCAGGAACACCGGGGAGACCACAAACAACAGCCCAAGCUUUUCCCUGGCCACCCCUUCCCACUCUGCUCCCGAAGAUCCCGAGCUCAGCCCGAGCUCAGCCCGGGCUCUCCGGGUGCAGCUGGCACCGAGGCUCAGGUGACAGCAGUGGCCUGGCCGUGUCCCCAGGAGUGACACUCUUCAGUGGCACUGUCCAGCAGGAACCCUGCAGCUCCGGGAGCAGCUCAGCCUCGGGAACUCUCUCACUCUAAAUGCUUAAAUUGCCCAUUCCAGAAGAGAAUCCCAGGAAUUCUCCAAAUCUGAGCUGCCACAGCCCCUCCCAGCCCCCCUCAGACAUGGCAUCAAUUCAGGAUCACUAAAAUCUGAGCUGUUCCAGGGGAUUCUUCAGGAACCUGCCCGAAAAACAGAAACCGUUAAAUCCCCCAACGCCAUUCUCCAGCUGGAGCUCCAUA
Long non-coding RNA from Hirundo rustica (Barn swallow), 5444 nucleotides. RefSeq lists it as uncharacterized. Lineage: Eukaryota; Metazoa; Chordata; Aves; Passeriformes; Hirundinidae. The transcript has 3 exons. The record is from RefSeq and is a predicted model, not a curated record.